This 305-nucleotide ribosomal RNA is filed under the name uncultured bacterium. RNAcentral describes it as "bacterial SSU rRNA". It matches the Rfam family "Bacterial small subunit ribosomal RNA", at positions 333 to 630 of the family's 1533-position model. The record is from RNAcentral.
GUGGUCCUACGGGGGGCAGCAGUAGGGAAUCUUCCACAAUGGGCGAAAGCCUGCUGGAGCAACGCCGCGUGGGUGAAGAAGGUCUUCGGAUCGUAAAACCCUGUUGUUAGAGAAGAAAGUGCGUGAGAGUAACUGUUCACGUUUCGACGGUAUCUAACCAGAAAGCCACGGCUAACUACGUGCCAGCAGCCGCGGUAAUACGUAGGUGGCAAGCGUUAUCCGGAUUUAUUGGGCGUAAAGGGAUCGCAGGCGGCCUUUUAAGUCUGAUGUGAAAGCCUUCCGCUUAACCGGAGUAGUGCAUUGGA